This 1332-nucleotide ribosomal RNA is filed under the name Paracatenula urania. RNAcentral describes it as "eukaryotic LSU rRNA". It matches the Rfam family "Eukaryotic large subunit ribosomal RNA", at positions 151 to 1221 of the family's 3401-position model. The record is from RNAcentral. Lineage: Eukaryota; Metazoa; Platyhelminthes; Paracatenulidae.
AGUGAUCGUUGUGCGUUAGGCUGACGUCUAAGUCUUCUUGACUGGGGUUUGAUGGCCCAGAGCGGGUGUCAGGCCUUUAAGGCGUUCGUUUGGCGUGCAUUGAUUGCUCGAAGAGUCGGGUUGUUUCUGAGUACAACCCAAAGCAGGUGGUAAACUCCAUCUAAGGCUAAAUAUGAGUACGAGUCCGAUAGCGAACAAGUACCGUGAGGGAAAGUUGCAAAGAACUUUGAAGAGAGAGUUCAAGAGUACGUGAAACCGCCCGGAGUGAAGCGGGUGAGCCCACAUGGUUGCCUGUUGGAAUCAAUCGUAUGGUCGGGACACACGGUCAGUUGUCGCAUGUACUGCGAGGUAUGUGGUCAGCUGGUCGUGUGCUUUCUGUCCUCUCGGCUGUGCGAUGUAUUUCUGACUUGCAAUGUGCCACGAGUGGUAGCAUGGUAACUAGAACCGGCUCGAGCAGGUAACACAUUUCUCCCAGUUUGUGGGUGAGUUUGUGUGAGGCUCUUGCUGAUUUAGUUUACUGUGCUACCUAGGACAGCUUGUGCUCAGCUGGAGCGAUUUGUGCCACACGAGAGGGGCACGUAGACUGCUCGGGUGGAUGUGUGUCGUUCGGGACUGCUUUGCAGUGUCGAGUGGCGCAUGUCUGCAUGGCGAGUAGUUGCACUGAUUGUGCAAGUGAAUUGAACGAAUUGCUGUUCGGUGGCCAGUUGGUAACUCACCCGUCCCGUCUUGAAACACGGACCAAGGAGUUCAGCAUGCAGGCGAGUCUGAGGGUGAUGCUAAACCCGAAGGCGAAGUGAAAGCGAAGGCUGCUUCAUGCAGUCGAGAUGUGAUCCGGUGUUUAGCGAGAGCUAACCCGGCGCAACAUCGUCUCGUCGUAACCUUGUGUGGGUGCGGCGAAGAUUGAGUCUGCACGCUGUGACCCGAAAGAUGGUGAACUAUGCCAGAGGAGGACGAAGCCAGAGGAAACUCUGGUGGAGGUCCGAAGCGAUUCUAACGUGCAAAUUGAUCGUCAGACUUUGGUAUAGCGGCGAAAGACUAAUCGAACCAUCUAGUAGCUGGUUCCCUCCGAAGUUUCUCUCAGGAUAGCUGGCACUCGCUUUGAUUUUUACCCGGUAAAGCGAAUGAUUAGAGUGAUUUGGGUUGAAAAGAUCUAAACCUAUUCUCAAACUGUAAAUGGAUGAGUUGUUCGACUCACUUGAUUUGGAGUUGGACUCGACUGUGAAUCUGUGAAGUGCCAAGUGGGCCAUUUUUGGUAAGCAGAACUGGCGCUGUGGGAUGAACCAAACGUUCGGUUAAGGUGCCAAACGGACGAUCAUUUGAAAACACAAAAGG